ACGUAGGGUGCGAGCGUUAAUCGGAAUUACUGGGCGUAAAGCGUGCGCAGGCGGUUUUGUAAGACAGGCGUGAAAUCCCCGGGCUCAACCUGGGAACUGCGCUUGUGACUGCAAGGCUAGAGUACGGCAGAGGGGGGUGGAAUUCCACGUGUAGCAGUGAAAUGCGUAGAGAUGUGGAGGAACACCAGUGGCGAAGGCGACUCUCUGGUCUGUAACUGACGCUGAGGCGCGAAAGCGUGGGGAGCAAACAGGA
Molecule: ribosomal RNA, 253 nt
Filed under: uncultured prokaryote
Description: partial 16S ribosomal RNA
Rfam family: Bacterial small subunit ribosomal RNA
Source: RNAcentral